UACGAAGGGGGCUAGCGUUGUUCGGAAUCACUGGGCGUAAAGGGCGCGUAGGCGGCUUUAUAAGUCGGGGGUGAAAGCCUGUGGCUCAACCACAGAAUUGCCUUCGAUACUGUAGAGCUUGAGACCGGAAGAGGUAAGUGGAACUGCGAGUGUAGAGGUGAAAUUCGUAGAUAUUGGGAGGAACACCAGUGGCGAAGGCGGCUCACUGGACCGGUACUGACGCUGAAGCGCGAAAGCGUGGGGAGCAAACGGG
Molecule: ribosomal RNA, 253 nt
Filed under: uncultured bacterium
Lineage: Bacteria
Description: partial 16S ribosomal RNA
Rfam family: Bacterial small subunit ribosomal RNA
Source: RNAcentral